Molecule: ribosomal RNA, 253 nt
Filed under: uncultured bacterium
Lineage: Bacteria
Description: partial 16S ribosomal RNA
Rfam family: Bacterial small subunit ribosomal RNA
Source: RNAcentral
UACAGAGGUCUCAAGCGUUGUUCGGAUUCAUUGGGCAUAAAGGGUGCGUAGGCGGCGCGGUAAGUCGGGUGUGAAAUCUCGGGGCUUAACUCCGAAACUGCAUUCGAUACUGCCGUGCUUGAGGACUGGAGAGGAGACUGGAAUUUACGGUGUAGCGGUGAAAUGCGUAGAUAUCGUAAGGAAGACCAGUGGCGAAGGCGGGUCUCUGGACAGUUCCUGACGCUGAGGCACGAAGGUCAGGGGAGCAAACGGG